AGCAUUCUUGCUAUCAUCAUGAUUGUGGAAGCUAAUGUGUUUUUACUGUCAAGCAUUCUUGCUAUCAUUAUGAUUGCGGAAGCAAAGGUUAUGAGCACACAAUAAAUUAUUAUUCAUGUAUGAGAAAAAAACUAAAAUAUACCGUUUUGUCCUAGUGUCAUUUACUGUUUUAUGUAUUUUUGGUCAAAAUUAUUUGCCAGUUCAGUACUUGUUCACAUUAGAUGCUAAAUCUGGACAAAUGAUUGAUGCAUUCCAAUUUCUUGCUUGCCAUUACCUGGGUUCUUUUUAUAUUCCUUUUUAAGGGUUUGAGUGGUUGAAGUGUCACCCAGAGCAAGAUCUGAAAUCUAAUUAGUAAAUCAAUUCUUCAUACAAUCUGAUGCACUACAUGUGAGCUUUUCUCAAGAGAAGAAAGGUGCUGCAUCAUAACUUUUCACUAUAUUACCAGCCAAGCCAAACUGGGACAGUUUUAGUAGAAACCUCAUUUUUCAUAACUUAUUUUGUUGCAAGGGAAAAUGAUCAGGUUUCGAUAAAUGAGUAGUCUACGGUGCUAUUCCUUUGUUAUUGAAUGAAGCUACUCUGCUCGUGCAUAUCAGAGUGACUUUCAUAAAACUAGGUAUUCCACUUCUGCGUUGUCAUUGAACUACAUCAGACAUGUCUCCACUCAUUACCGCCCAAUCCCCACAACUCUGCUGAAAACAGGAUAAGGACAUUUCUCCCCUGCUUUCCGUGAGGUCAAAGGGACCUUUCAGAAAAUUUGAAAAAUGCAGUUAUCCUUUUCUAUAGGUGUCUUUGUAGUUAUCUUCUGUUGAAACUGCCAGAAGUUUAUGUGUAGGGGAGGUAGACACUAACAUGAAUUCCCACCAAAUCAGGAUUAGGUCCAGCUUGUAAGUUCCUGAUGAAGUGUUAUACCAUAUAUACACUUACCCAGUACACUAUUUACAAACAGUGACAGUCCAAUAGCCACUGGGAUCAUAAACAUAGCCCUUGAUGCCACACCUAACAAUGAAGCUACCAAUGGCUGCAAUACAAUGCAAGGCUUCCAAAAGAAUAAAACAAUCCAGUGGGUGCAGCAGAGCCUGAUGGCCUGGUUUCACCAGAGAAAAAUGGCUGGAGAACAAUCAUUAGGAAAGGGCCCCAGUUGAAAGAACUAAUCUCUUUAUUGCUGAUGCGAGAUGGGGCCUGUCCAUGAUUCUCCAGAUGCUGCCUAAUUUUUUACCCCACUUUUUUUUCUCUUUUCAGAUUCAAAUGGCACGAAAAAGAGCAAAUUUAUUAUACAACGUGCAAAGGUUGAGGAAACUACUGUUGGGAUUGUGAUGGCUGUCAGGCCUAUUGGAAAUGGACAUAAAAGGACCUAUGAAAUGGAAGAAGAGAGCAGCAGAAUCUAAAAGAUUGCCUACAUGUUUGUAAAGCUUAUGCCGCAUAUACCAACAACAGCUACCAUUGAUGAAUGAUGAGCAAAUAAAAGUGAUGGGCAGUUACACGGACACACCACGGAAGGUGGAGGCAAUGAUAUGGAUAUCUUGUCAGGUAAUUCUGGGCUAACCCAGAUUCAGAUGUUGGGUUAGUAGAAUACAAAAGGCAUCUAUCGUGUAUGUGUGUAGUGGUGGACCAAAGUGUAUAUGGCUGCAUACGAAGCUGCAGGGUUUACACCAGAGUUUUGCAUAUCCUGUCUCGGAGGACAGUGGGCAUAUUUUUGUAGUGCAUGUUUGAGGAAACUGCAUGCAUGGUCCUAACGUUUUCCUUAAAAAAAACACAAGUGGACUAGAAAAAAAAAGUUGAAGGCAUGUAUCCUACGUUGGAAUUUCCAAAUGUGGACAAAAAAUAAUACCAGCUCCAAAACCAUAAAAUCCAUUUCUGAUGCAUCGGACGAUUGGUGACGUGACAAGUCAUGUAAAUGUUUGUCGGUCAGAUCCCGUGUGUACACACAGUCGGCCAGGAAACGAUGACUGGUUGUGUCGGUGUGUGGGGGGAUCCAUCCGUCGGCCGGAAUACACAAGCGCAACAGCUAGCCGGUACGGUGUAUCCGAUC
Molecule: long non-coding RNA, 2029 nt
Organism: Panicum virgatum (switchgrass)
Lineage: Eukaryota; Viridiplantae; Streptophyta; Magnoliopsida; Poales; Poaceae
Exons: 3
Source: RefSeq, a predicted model, not a curated record